Molecule: long non-coding RNA, 1848 nt
Filed under: Anas platyrhynchos platyrhynchos (common mallard)
Lineage: Eukaryota; Metazoa; Chordata; Aves; Anseriformes; Anatidae
Description: lncRNA (ENSAPLG00000021239.1)
Source: RNAcentral
CUAAAGCUAGUGGGGAAAUAAUACUGCAUUAACUGCUCAAAACAUCUGAGAGGUGCUGGGCAGAUUGUGUUUUCAGCGUGAAGGCUGGUUCAGCUCUUUGUGAAUUUGUAGUAAAUCAGCACUUCAUAAUAAGAACAAAUGUUUCAUUCUCACUUAAAAAUUACUACAGUUAGAAGCUUGUAAUGUGUAGUUUUCAUGCAGGGGUUACAUGACGGGAACUUAAAUCUGUUCCAUUUUCAUCUGUAAUUUAAAACGUGUCAUUUUGAUCGAUGAAUUAGUAAAGGAACCCAGGAUAAUUUUGAAACUACCAGCUUAGUAAAGUUGCCUGACCUUGCAAAUAACCUUUUCAGUUUAGAAGCCUUUAAUAGCUUAACUAUUAGCUAAUCUCCUGGGAAACUUUUUCCCUGGGCAAAACUAGUAUGGAAAUAUAACACCAGUAAUAAGGUUUCCAUCUUUCUUCUAUCUUGAUCUUUUUAAUUAAUUGCCACUCAGUAAAAACAUAGACUGGGAGGCAGGGGAUAAAAAUCUUUGCAAGGGGAGGGCAGGAGUUAACUGCAGACUGUUUCUAUCCUUUACCUGCCCUUUUUGCAUAGAUUCAUUAGGUGCUGAAAGAUAUUAGCAAUUGUUAAGGUACAACUGCUGCUUGAUUGUUUGACGCUUUUGGCUGAAAGCUGUGAAAUCGAUCAUUUUGUUAUGGAAAAAAGGCGCUCAGUGCCUACCAGGAGCAAACAUUUUAAAUACUUGAAUGCUUUGUAGAGCACCUCAGCAGGCCCCUGGGAGCUUUUGUGUUACAGUCGUGUUGGUGCUGGUUCUUGGGUUUUGUGGGUUAUUUCUGGAAAAGACUUUUCCAAUGUGUGGGGUUUUUUUUUUGUUUGUUUGUUUGUUUGUUUGUUUGUUUUUCCUUUUUUUUCCUACGGGCAAUCACGGACUGCAAAUAUUUGAUUUGCCAGAAGAAAAGCAACGAACAAGGAGUUUAGAGGACAAGGCACAGGAAUCCACCGCACACGCCGACUGCUGCCAUUGGCAUUGCUGGGGACGUUGCUGGUAAAGCUGGAGGAGGCUUCAGGGUGACCCCUGUGUGAAAGGAGCUGGUGAGAGCUUUCCUCCUUGUACCUCCUACAAAGUCAUCCCCACCUGUCUAAGACACCAGUGAGAGCAGCCCAUAAGACAGGUCACGCAGAUAUUUCAUGUUUGCAGCUUUCUUGCAUUUUCUUUUCACUUCCAGAGGAUCUGGUGAAGUCCCAGAGUUACGCUAAGCCCUGGGCGCUUGACACUGCCUAAAUACCGAUGGCAUCUUCCAAAUGGGGACAGGCAGCUUGGGGUGACCUGGGACCACCUGCAAAAGCUGUGCAAAGCCAGCCUGAGGGGGGGGGCUGGCUUUCCCCAGCAGGGGAUGGUGCCCACCUGUGUGUACUCCUGAACUCCCUCAUGUAUGCAAAGGCUCUGUUAUUUCUGUCUAUAAUGCACUGGCUCAGCUGCUAAAUUUGUAAAGAAAUUUUUGUUGCAAGGGCUGGGCAGAAGCAGAGAGGAGUGACAUAAAGAGGUUCAAAAGGGAGGACUGUAAUUAGCUACAACAAAAGUAAAUUGCUCAAGAGCAUUUCUCUUAAUGUUUUUAGUAGCAAACAUCAUGGAGAGCAGGUUUCUCAGGCCAAACAGGAAGGAAAACAAACAAACAACUACAGGCAGCUAAUUCACAGGCUUUUAGAAGUCAGGUUAUCAACCAGGGACCCAGAGACAGGAACUGAUGAAGCACAAAACUCCAGGGAAACAGAUGAGGUUUCCAAAGAACACAAACACAUAAAACCCUAAGAUGUACAUUUAUAAAUAAAUCCAGGAAAGAGCAGGACA